UGGGGAAUAUUGGACAAUGGGGGGAACCCUGAUCCAGCCAUGCCGCGUGUGUGAAGAAGGCCUUAUGGUUGUAAAGCACUUUACGCGAGGAGGAGGGUACUGGUAUUAAUACUACCAGCUACUGGACGUUACUCGCAGAAUAAGCACCGGCUAACUCUGUGCCAGCAGCCGCGGUAAUACAGAGGGUGCGAGCGUUAAUCGGAUUUACUGGGCGUAAAGCGUGCGUAGGCGGCUAAUUGAGUCGGAUGUGAAAUCCCCGAGCUUAACUUGGGAAUUGCAUUCGAUACUGGUUAGCUAGAGUGUGGGAGAGGAUGGUAGAAUUCCAGGUGUAGCGGUGAAAUGCGUAGAGAUCUGGAGGAAUACCGAUGGCGAAGGCAGCCAUCUGGCCUAACACUGACGCUGAGGUACGAAAGCAUGGGGAGCAAACAGG
Molecule: ribosomal RNA, 430 nt
Filed under: Pseudomonadota bacterium
Lineage: Bacteria; Pseudomonadati; Pseudomonadota
Description: Proteobacteria bacterium partial 16S ribosomal RNA
Rfam family: Bacterial small subunit ribosomal RNA
Source: RNAcentral